This 498-nucleotide ribosomal RNA is filed under the name uncultured bacterium. RNAcentral describes it as "partial 16S ribosomal RNA". It matches the Rfam family "Bacterial small subunit ribosomal RNA", at positions 28 to 507 of the family's 1533-position model. The record is from RNAcentral.
GACGAACGCUGGCGGCGUGCCUAAUACAUGCAAGUCGAACGAGAGCGACCGGUGCUUGCACUGGUCAAUCUAGUGGCGAACGGGUGAGUAACACGUGGGUAACCUGCCCAUCAGAGGGGGAUAACAUUCGGAAACGGAUGCUAAAACCGCAUAGGUCUUCGAACCGCAUGGUUUGAAGAGGAAAAGAGGCGCAAGCUUCUGCUGAUGGAUGGACCCGCGGUGCAUUAGCUAGUUGGUGAGGUAACGGCUCACCAAGGCCGUGAUGCAUAGCCGACCUGAGAGGGUGAUCGGCCACAUUGGGACUGAGACACGGCCCAAACUCCUACGGGAGGCAGCAGUAGGGAAUCUUCCGCAAUGGACGCAAGUCUGACGGAGCAACGCCGCGUGAGUGAAGAAGGUCUUCGGAUCGUAAAACUCUGUUGUUAGAGAAGAAUAAGUGCUAGAGUAACUGUUAGCGCCUUGACGGUAUCUAACCAGAAAGCCACGGCUAACUACGUG